GGCGACCCCAGGUCAGGCGAGACUACCCGCUGAGUUUAA
This 39-nucleotide ribosomal RNA is filed under the name Garcinia conrauana. RNAcentral describes it as "partial 28S ribosomal RNA". Lineage: Eukaryota; Viridiplantae; Streptophyta; Magnoliopsida; Malpighiales; Clusiaceae. The record is from RNAcentral.